This 490-nucleotide ribosomal RNA is filed under the name uncultured bacterium. RNAcentral describes it as "partial 16S ribosomal RNA". It matches the Rfam family "Bacterial small subunit ribosomal RNA", at positions 30 to 507 of the family's 1533-position model. The record is from RNAcentral.
AUUGAACGCUGGCGGCAGGCCUAACACAUGCAAGUCGAACGGUAACAGGAAGAAGCUUGCUUCUUUGCUGACGAGUGGCGGACGGGUGAGUAAUGUCUGGGAAACUGCCUGAUGGAGGGGGAUAACUACUGGAAACGGUAGCUAAUACCGCAUAAUGUCGCAAGACCAAAGAGGGGGACCUUCGGGCCUCUUGCCAUCGGAUGUGCCCAGAUGGGAUUAGCUAGUAGGUGGGGUAACGGCUCACCUAGGCGACGAUCCCUAGCUGGUCUGAGAGGAUGACCAGCCCCACUGGAACUGAGACACGGUCCAGACUCCUACGGGAGGCAGCAGUGGGGAAUAUUGCACAAUGGGCGCAAGCCUGAUGCAGCUAUGCCGCGUGUAUGAAGAAGGCCUUCGGGUUGUAAAGUACUUUCAGCGGGGAGGAAGGGAGUAAAGUUAAUACCUUUGCUCAUUGACGUUACCCGCAGAAGAAGCACCGGCUAACUCCGUG